Molecule: long non-coding RNA, 24523 nt
Filed under: Medicago truncatula (barrel medic)
Lineage: Eukaryota; Viridiplantae; Streptophyta; Magnoliopsida; Fabales; Fabaceae
Description: long non-coding RNA (MTRU_LNC008229)
Source: RNAcentral
CAUCACAAACUAAAUUAGUUGUAUUCAUAUUAUAUACCACUUCUUUCAUUUACUUCUUGAAUUUUGAUCCUUUUUAAUUAUCUUGAUAUAUAUCAUGGGUGUUUUUACUUUCAAUGAUGAACAUGUCUCAACCGUGGCUCCAGCUAAACUCUACAAAGCUCUUGCAAAAGAUGCUGAUGAAAUUGUCCCAAAGGUGAUUUCUGCUGCCCAAAGUGUUGAAAUUGUUGAAGGAAAUGGAGGACCAGGAACCAUUAAGAAGUUAUCCAUUGUUGAAGGUAAUUAAGAUCACAUACUAUGUACAAAUAUAUAAUACUUAACAUCAAAUGAUACAUAGUGUUCGCGUAAAAUUGUUUUGCACCGACAACCGAUCAAUGUUUGUCGGUACAACAAAGAAUUGGGUUACUACCUUUUAUUUGAAAAUUGACAAACAUGAUGUGACAAAUUAAAGAGUUGUAAUUGAUUAAAUGAUACAUAGUUUUAAUAAUUUGAUUAAAUGAUUCACAAAUAAGUUAAGUUAAAUUCAUUAUUACCAAAAAAACAAAGUUAAAUUCAAGUGUAGUAAAAAAAAAAUUAUUCAAUUCUAUUUGGAUAGUCAUUGUAGAAUUUUAAAAUAUAAUCUUGAGAAAUAAAGGAGACAAUACAUAAGCUUGUACCAAGGGCAUGUCUAAUAAUUAUGGACCUUCAAAAAAAAAAUGAUUCAGGUGAUUCAGGACACUUGGUAAAGUUCAAAACGAUCUUUAACCGAAAGAGUUUUUAGUCAAACUAUACUUAUAUUGAAAAAAGAACUAUAUAAAUAAGGAAAAUGUUAACAAGUGUCCUUAAGGUAUUGUUUAAGCAUCCAAAAUUAGUAGUUUUUACUUUGAAAAUUGUGUAAUUAUGACUUGUAUAUAUGUUUGACUUGUAUUUUCAAGACAAACUUUUUUUUUGUGGAUUCCUUUAACAAUGUCCUUAAGACACUUGUUAACAAGACCAUGUAAAUAAUUAUAAUGGUUAUAUUGCAGAUGGCAAAACCAACUUUGUGCUACACAAAUUAGAUGCAGUAGAUGAGGCAAACUAUGGAUAUAACUACAGCUUAGUAGGAGGAACAGGGUUGGAUGAAAGUUUAGAGAAAGUUGAAUUCGAGACAAAUAUUGUUGCUGGGUCUGAUGGUGGAUCCAUUGUUAAGAUUUCAGUGAAAUAUCACACCAAAGGUGAUGCAGUUCUAUCUGAUGCAGUACGUGAGGAGACUAAGGCCAAAGGAACUGGUCUUAUCAAGGCUAUUGAGGGCUACGUCUUGGCAAACCCUAAUUACUAGCCAAUUAAACCCUAUUGAGGACUUUAAUUUGGGUUGUGUUGUUUUAUGCGAAUAAUAAUUAAAGUUUAUGAUGUAGUUGAAUGUGUGUUGAGUAUACAUCAAGGUCUUUGGUUCGUACAUGUGUGUUGGCUAUGUUGGAUGUUGUGAGGUUUGAGUGUUAUUUUGGGUGUUUAAAAACAAAAACCUAUGUUGUGUUGGUGAUAAGGUUUUGCACCAUUUGUAUUCUGCAAUAAAUAAUGCAAAAGAAUUUUAUAGCACUUUCGGUUAUUUGAAUUUAAUUUAGGAUCACAUCAAACUAACAGUGCAUAUGACUUUCGAUUGGUAAUUUUAACCAAAGCUGUCUACAAUUAUUUAAAUAGUUUGGUUGAGUUUUGUCUUGAAUUGAUUUGAGCAAUUUAAAGUAAGUGAAUCAUAUUUUGAAAGAGUCAUCAUGACAAAUUUGAUUUUUAAAACAAAACCCCCAGUGUGUAAAAUAAGCAUGAUGAUGAGGCGGGUGAUGAUGAGUUUUACCUUCCCCAUCCUUAUACCCUACUCUCAUAUACUUACCUGCCACUUUACCUAUAUCUAAUGAGGGUGAGAAGUCGAACCCCAUCACUGUCUCCGACGGGUUUAGGUAUCCCCGCGUCAUCUCCGUUGUGGAUAAUUUUUUUUAAUGAAAAAAGUGUUUUUCUACUUCAGGCGCAAUGUUGUAAUACAUUAUCCUACAAAGAGAUGAUGACGAUCGAUAACUACGUUGAUGGAGAAGUGAGAGACCGAGAUUGAGAAGUGAGAAUCAUCUGAGAGACUAAGACUCUGACUAUGUGAGGAGAAUAAAGAGAACUCUGAGAAGUGAGUGUCAUCUGAGAGACUAAGUUUUGAUUGUGUGAGUGAAAUGAUUUAGGGUUUGAGUUUCUAUUUAUAUAAAAUGGAUAAUAAAUUGAUUUUCUACAUGUGGGGCGGGUUUGAGUGUGGGUUCGGGGUGAAUACAUAUAUCCUCGUUACCUAUCCAGUAUCCAUGUUUUGAAUCAUGGAAAAUUCAAACUCAUACCCAAAUCCAAUAAAAGCAGAGAAAAUCCGUCAAAUUAGAUUUGUUUCAAAUGGGUACCCGCAGAUAUGCAUUUUGUUGUCUUACCUCAAAAUCACUAUUUAGUAUAGAAAAGUUAACUUGUAACUAAUGUACAACUUAAAGUUAAGAAGUUAAAUGCAAAAUUAUAUUUAGAAAUUGCGCAUUUCUUAUCCUAAAGUUUCUUCUUUUUCAAGGGUAAUUCCUUGAGAGUUUAAAAACUAAAUUUUAAUUCAAUACAAAAAUUUUGUUUUGAUUUCAUUUUUAGAUCGUUAAUUUGUGUCCUUGGUAUACAAAUUAACCUAACUCAUUGAGUAUGUGUUUGUUUUUUCUUAAAAAGAGUAUGUGUUUAGCUGUAAAAUAACAUUAAACAUGAGUCGUCCAACCUGACACUCUAAUUAGUAGCUUCUGAACCUCAUGAUUAAAUGGUAACUCACAUUGGCUGUGAACUAACUCUAUCCCAAAUUGGUGCUUAAUACGCUAAUUUAGGGAUAUUUGUGGUGCAGUUUGAAUUAGUUUUGAUGCAAAUAGUCAUCAUAUUUAAAAUAAAAAUCGCAUGCGGAAAAUAUAGGGUAAAAUAUAACGUUUAAUGGAAAAUAUAGCAUGAAUAUAUAUUAAAAAAUAAUAUUACAGAAUAAAAAUUAUCAAUUAUAUUCUAAACAUAGGAAGAAGUAAUACUAUACAAUAAAUUAAUGCAAUAUAUAAAAAAAAAUAAAAAAUAAAACCGAGAAGCUAUAUAUUAAUGCAAUACACACACUAAUAAAAUAAUAAAUAAGUAUUAAAAUUUACAAAACAACAUCCAAAAAAAAUCAAUUUUUUUGUUGUUGUUUUUUUUGGAUUAGUGUACGGUUUUAUUUUGGAUGCGUUUGAAUUUGAAUAACCACAUGCCUACUAGGCUAACUGUGUAUAUUAUUUAGGAAAUGUCAUAAAAGGUACUCCCUCAAUCUUAAAUAAUUAUCAUUAUUUAACUUUCAUCCAUAUCAAUGUACAAUUUUAACUAUUAAUAUUCUUAGUUAUUUAUUAAUAAAAGUUGUAAAAAAUUGAUAUUUUAAAAAUAUUCGUUGAGAUAAAUUGAACAAUAUUUUAUUUACUAACAUUUUAUUUACAAAUAUGAUCAAAGUAGAUUAUGUGAAUCGUACGUAUGGUCAAACUAUGACAAUAAUUUUGAAAUAGAUGGAGUAAUUUUGAAAAUAGAAAAGAGAAAUGUUAGCUAGUGCCUUCCGGUGCACUAGCUAUAUGAAAAACGUGUGGAGUAAUUUUGAAACCAAUAUAGAAAAUUGUGUUGAGAAGUAUGAAAAAGUUGUACGUUCAACUUUUUAAAAGUCAAAAAUUUAUUAUUUUUAUAAAAAAAAAAAUCUACUUCUAAUUUUUUUAACUAAUGCUCCAUAAUCAAUAGUUAGCAUGACUGGAUAAAAAAUGACAUAUCAUAUCAUACUAACAAAUGUUCUAAAGUUACAUUGUUAUGGACAUUUGUUAGCAUUUUUUACUUUUAUUAAAAAAAUAGGCAUUUCACACGGUUACUUUUGGCUUUAUCACAUUUUGCGUUCACAUAUCUUUGUAAAUAAAUAUGCCUUAUAUUGAUCAGGAGUAAAUUGGAACACAACUAGCAUCUCUCCAUUUCUCUCUAUCAUCAUGUGUAUAUCACAAUUUUUUGAAGAAGUUAAAGAAAUCAUGUUAAAAAUCAAAUAAAGCUCCUUUAACAUAUGGUGCGUCAAAGCAACCUAAUAAUCCAAACAGCUCACAUUACAACAUGUCGUAACAACCCAACAAAAAAUUAGAAAACUAUCUUUAAGCAAAACAAAGGAUUUUGCCUCGAAAACACGUGAUAUAAUUUUAACCACCAAUAAAUUUGUAGUUUAAUUUUUUCACUCAGAGAUUGAAGUUGAUUACUCUUCUGUUGAAAGAUCCUAACAUUUCUUUCUUUGAAAUGACGCAAAGCACUGAAAAGUCGAAAGAAGUUCUCCUUGGCGAAUCCCUUUUUUCAACUUAAACUCAUUAGUAAGGCUACCAUUCACAAGUACCGAAGUCGUUGCUGUUGAGACACAUUCUAAAAUCCAUUGACUCCAGCGCUAAGGGUAAUUCAGUUUGGUCAUCAAAUCUCCCAAAUACCUCCAAUGAACUGAGUCAUAGGUUUUUUUGAAAUCAACCUUAAAAAGAAUAAGUUCUUUCUUAGAUUUACACGCAUCACCCUUUAACUCAUUGGCUAUCAGAAUUGCAUCUAAAAUUUGUCUACCUUUUACAAAAGCAAACUAAGAUUCUGAAACACCAUUACUAACCACCUUCCUCAAUCUAUUAGCAAGAACUUUUGACAAAAUUUUAUACACCCUCCGUCCCUUAAUGUAGGCACCUAUUGCCUUUUCACAUUUCUUAAGAAAUGUUGUCAGUGUAAUUAAUGUGUUUGUUUUGUGUGUUAAUAAUUAUCCUUGGUUUGUAUGUAUUAAAUUUGACUUUUCAUAUUUCAAGACAAGUUAGUAGUAUUAAUUAGGGAUAUGUUUAGGAAAAAAUUAAUAAACGCAUCUAGUAAUUUGAAAUGGAAUUUAAAUUUAGAGAAAAAAAUAAAAUCAAACGGAAACUUAGAUAUAAGGACGGGGGAGUAUAAGCUACCAACCAAAGAAAUAGGUUGAAAAUAUGCCAACUUCUAAAGACUCUUAGCUUUGGGAAUCGAAGUAAUAAAAGUAUUUAUGUCCUUUGUUAACUUACCAUUGUGAUGAAACUCAACAAACAAAUUCUUUGAUAAAACCAAUAUUAAUCUCAUCUUGCUCAGGACUCUUAUAACUAUCACAAUCUCACACUCAUGCCUCUAUCUCUUCCAACAAAAAAGGUAUAAUAAGAUCAGCCACAUCCUUCAUACUAAUAGUUUUAAAAGAAAGAUCCCCUAACCCAGGUCUGGACUCCAUUGCAACUUUAAAAUUAGAUUGAAAAUGUUGAAAAGCCACACUCCUCGCCCCUUCCACACCCUUAAUCUGAACACCUUUAACAUUAAUAGAAAUAAUCACAGUUGACCCGUCUCCUAGAAGACACCACCCCAUGGAAAAAAAAAAAAAAAACGAAUUAGCACCACCCUUCUUUAACCAAGUCGAUCUAGAUUUUUGCCACUGAAUACUAAAAUGUAAUUUAUAUAAAGCCACAACAUCUGCUAAUAGAAAUCAAAGAGAGAAAUCAACAUAUCAAACAAAACGAAACCGAAGAACCAAUGCAAAUUGAACUAAAUAACCAACCUAAAUCAAACCACCAUUAAUCAAAUCAUCCUUAUCAAAUCCACCAAUCAAUCACAAUACUAACAAUUCCAUCGUGUGAAGAACAAUGAAUUCAAAUGGAGAAAAACUAAUGGAUAUCAAAAUAAAUCCAUAGAGAACAACCGUGACAAUUGCUUAACAAAUAGUAAUUCAACUAAAAAGAAAAGUCCUAAUCCAACAAAAACCAACACAUUAAUAUCCAAGUGCCAUCAGGACUCAACUGAAUCUUUGAAUCAAAAAAAUAAUAGAUAGCUAAAACAAUAAAUCUUAUAGUUUACAAACAAAUCAAAAUGCAAAACAGAUUCCUAAUUUUUUUUUUUUUUUUUUUGAAAAAUUAACAACGGAAUAGCCGUGAAUCAUAUAAGGAGGGUCAAAACAUGCUCUUGAUACCAUGUUAACAAUAUUAGGUUUAGAGCUCUUAUACAUGGAGCAUCGUAGGUGACAUACAAACUUUCACGGUGUGAUGUGAAAUUACUAAAAUACCCCUGUCACAUGGGGGUAUACAUGAGAGGUACAUAAAAAAGGAUGUCUAUCUAUCUUUUUUCAUAGAUUUAAUAAAAAAGGGAGAAUAACACAAAACAACUAGAAUUUUAUAAAAUGUAGAUGACUUAACAUUACAAAAGGUUAACAUAAACCUAAUGGAUUACUAACUUAAUAAUAGUUUAAGUUAAAAACUUUAUUAUCUAACCAAUUUUAUCUACUUCCAAUAUAUCACCUACGAAUUUUCUAUUUUUGAAUCCCGUCUACACUCUGAGUCAUGGAAUACUGCGAGACUAUUUCAUAUUGAUUUUCGUAACCCAAUUCAAGAUAACACAAAGAGGGUUGACCCAAUCACAAUCACCAAUAAAUAAAUGAGCUUUUGUCAAAAAAAGACGACCUGAUCAAUGAGCUAUUUUUCAACAAAAUAAAGUGAGAUUUACGAACAAGCCACAAGGUAUGUCCUACCAAAGUUCUAUAAAUACCAUUCCUCACCAUCUCAUAAACCCACAUCACAAGCGAAAUUAGUUGUAUUCAUAUUAUACAUUUCUCUUUUCAUUUUCUUCUUGUAUAUUGAUCCUUUUUAACUAUCUUGAUAUAUAUCAUGGGUGUUUUUACUUUCAACGAUGAACAUGUCUCAACCGUGGCUCCAGCUAAACUCUACAAAGCUCUUGCAAAAGAUGCUGAUGAAAUAGUCCCAAAGGUGAUUUCUGCUGCCCAAAGUGUUGAAAUUGUUGAAGGAAAUGGUGGACCUGGCACCAUCAAAAAGUUAUCCAUGUCUGAAGGUAAUUCAUUAAGAGCAUUUACUAUAUCCCUGUCAAAAAAAUACAACUUUAUUAAUUAGUAAUUCAAUAGACAUGUUAAGAAAUCAUAUACUCACUUUUAUUUUUGAAUUAGAUUUUGAGUGUUGAAGGAGACCAAUGAUAAUACAUAAACUGAGUCUAUAUAUAAAUAAUAAGCUUCAAGAAACAACUAAUUUCCAUGGAAAAAGAAUAUAUAAGAUACUUCAUGCAAGAUUCAAGAGAACCACUAAACUGGAGACAGGGCCGGCCUAAGGACCAAACAACCUAAACAAGGGUUUUAGGCUUCAAAACUUUUGGUAAAAAAAAAGGUCUUUAAAAAAUUAAUUUGGUCAUAAGUAUAUUAUAUGACAGAUAAAUUACAGACAUUUGAAUAGCUUAACUGAUCAAAAAGGUUUUAAUUACUCAUGGUCAUGAAUUCAAAUUUUGGUCUCCACGCAAUUGCUUUUAUAUAAAUAUUCUAUUAAAAAAAUAAUUUCAAAGGCCACAUUAAAUUUUUUGAUUUAAGCCUCUUAAUCUGUUGGGUCGGCCAUGGCAGGAGAUCCAACUAUUUGUAUAAACUACAGUCGUUGAAAUGUAACUAUUGUGAGAGUGUUGCUUGUUUUCAUUAUAUAUAGUAGUUAUAUAUUCAAAUGAAAUGAAUGAUCAAAUUAACACUAAAAUUUAGUUAAAAUCAUUUCAAAUAUCAAUAUAUUAUUGUCAAGAUUAAAUUAUGUAAUUUUAUAUGAUUUCAACCUAAUGGUAAAGAGUGGUUAUAAUAUAUCCAGAUUAAUUGUAAAUAGACUCGUAUUCAAUAAUUAUAGUAAUUAAGAUCAACUUUUUAAUCAGCCCAAUAAAAUGUGUGGUCUACAACUAUAAGAUUCACACAAUAUUAUAGUAAAAUAGACUUAACAAUCAAGUGAUUAAAUAUAUCCAGUUACAUUAGAAUUGAUCUAUGACAAAAACAAUUUUUAGUCGAACUUUACUUUCAUUUUGAGGGAACCAACUUAUAUAAAUUAUGAUGGUUGUAUUGUAGGUGGCAAAACCGACUAUGUGCUACACAAAUUAGAAGCAAUGGAUGAAGCAAACUUGGGAUACAACUAUAGCAUUGUAGGAGGAACAGGGUUGGAUGAAAGUUUAGAAAAAGUUGAAUUCGAGACAAGUAUUGUGGCUGGCUCUGAUGGUGGAUCCAUUGUUAAGAUUUCAGUGAAAUACCACACCAAAGGUGAUGCAACUCUAUCUGAUGCAGUGCGUGAUGAAACUAAGACCAAAGGAACUGGACUUAUCAAGGCCAUUGAGGGAUACGUUUUGGCAAACCCUAAUUAUUAAGUAAAAUGUAUACUUGGUUGUGUUGUGUCAUACCAAUAAUAAUUGAAGUUUAUGAUAUGGUUGUUUGAUUUAUACAUCACGAUUUCUAGCUUAUACAUGUGUGUGGGCUUUGUUGUUUAAUUACAAAAAUCUAUGUGUUGAUGUUGAGGUUUUGUACCAUCUAUAAUUCUGUAAUAAAUAAUGAAGAAUUUUCUAGCACUUUUCAUUCGGUAUUUUAACUUUAUAUGCCUUGACCAUUAUUGGUACACCAAUUUCCUUUCCUCUUGUUAUCCUUUUUUUUUCUUUCUUUGGAUUUAUUUUUGACUUGUAACACAUAAAAACUCAACUCAUCACUAGCAUGCUUUGAAUUUUACUAUGGCUGAGAAAAAGUAAAAACAUAAUGUGAGUAUGAUAGAGAAAGUUGUCAUAUAAUGGUUAUAUAAAUAUUAUUUCUCUAUCAUAAAUGUAAAGUGGAAGAUAUUGAAUUGAGAGUGAUGAAAUUUGUAUGGGUCUUGUUAACGAGUGCCCCCGAGGGCACUCUUUAAGCAUACUAAAUUAGAAAAUUAUUCUUUAAAAAAUUCAAAUAAUUCAAUUUCCAAUGCAUUGAAUACAUAACUUUUCAUAAAAAGUUACUAUUUAAGACCCUUAAAGAGUGUCCCCAGGGCACUAGUUAACAUUUCUGAAUUAUAGUAUUAAUUAAGAUGUAUAAUUGAAAAAAGAUAGUUAAUUAAUAUUAUAUUAAAAAGUGAAAUUGAUCAUUCAUUUUAGAUCUUUCUUCUUUUUUACAAAUAAAUUACUUAUUGUGGAACAUGAGGAGUAUCAUUUAUGCUCAAACUAAUCAUGCAAACUCUAAUAUAUAUAAACAAUUAUAAAUCAAAUAGACUUCAAUUUGAUAUUCCUUGCACUCGAAUAAUUUGGUAAGAGACAAAUUAAAUAAAGGAAUUUAAGUUUUUAUAAAUAAUCAACAUGUUAUAAGAUACAAUUGUUUGAAAAAGAAGAAUGGUGGUUUGCGGGUUAGGGUCUCUUAGUUAAUCAUCUAUUUCUGUUUCAUGUUUUUUUUUUUAAUAAUUUAUUUCUGUUUCAUGUUAUUUACCAACUUUAUAUUAGUUUUUUUGUAACUUUUUUAGUACAACUUGUGCUGAAAAGAUUUUGGUUAAUGAUAUUCUAUUUUGACAUGCUAAAAAAAAUGAUGAAUGUGAACCCGUUAAAUAAGUAAACGAUAUAGUACAUAGGUUGCAUAUUUUUAAACUUUGCCGUCUUUGAAUUGAAUUCUUGAUGCUUUUGUCCAAGUCAAAUUUCGAUUUUUAAUUCCUUUGCCCAUCUCUUCAUCGGCCAAAACUUCUGAGCUAAUAAGUCAUUGAUCUAUAUCUAUAUAUCUAUCUAAAGAAAAGUCAUUGAGUUGAAAAUAUCAUUUUGAAGAUAUGCUCUACAAUUUAUGGUUUUGAAAAAUAAUACACGCUCUCUAAUAUGGACAGCUUUGUUUUACACACUUAUUAAUCCUACUUAUUAAAGGUGCUACUAGCUAGUAACAGAUGGGAAACUUUUUGUUUCAAGUUUACCAAAUUUAUUUUUGGUGAUAACAUUUCUUGGAACAUAAAGAUGAGAAUUUUAUUCUAAAAUAUUUAGAAAAAAGAUGUUUGCUUAACAUUAUAGUAUUCUCAGAAACCAUAAAAAUAAGGAUUAUAAUAGAUAAUUACACAUGAAUCUAUUCCCAUGUUCAUGGGAACUUUAUUCCCACUAGUUUCUGUGAGAAAUUUUUUCCAUUCCCAUAAACAUUUUAUACCUGCGAAUAAAAUUUAAUAAAUUUGUAACAAACAUAGACAUGCAUAUGUCUAUUGUUUUAUUCCCAAAAAUCUACAUAGAUAACUUGAAAUAAACGUACCCUUAAAUUUAAUUAUUUACUGAAAAGAAAAAUGUGAUAAGGAAUCUGUUUCUACACCUCCAGGAAACACUAUCUCUUUUUCUUUUACGGAUCAAAGCUACAUUAUUUAGUUCCGUAAAUACAAUUUGAAUGGUAAAAAAUUUAAAGAUAUUUGAUUAAUUGGAGUGCGAGUUUGAAUAUAUAAUUCUUCACUUUAAAUGUUUUAAAGUAGAAUUGAUUUUUUUUGUAAAAUUAAUUCUACUCAAAGCUAAAUGUCGAGGCACGAAUAUUGUUCAAUUCACUUUUACUUAAAUAUAAUAAAACAUAUAUUAUUUUACAUUUAAUCAGAAUUAACUGUACAAAAUUAAUUCAUUUAGAAUCAAAUUUUUGUUGUGUAGCAUAAACAAACACACACUAAAUUACGUAGUUUGAUUUCUUUAUUAAAAAAAAGAAAGAGUAAAAUGAUUUCAUAUUUUGUCUUCAUUCCCAUUAGUUUGUUAUUGUCUUUGUAAUAAAAAAAUUAAAAAAAAUAUUUUUUUUCACUACGUAAAAACUUCACGUAGAUCUUUUUAUCAUUAAUUAAUUCGUGCGUGGUUAUGUACGACUGAGUCUCCUUAUUUUAGGAUAACGACUUCAAAUCUUUCAUACAUCAAUCUUCACCAAACUUUAACGGUGUGUUUGGAUGUAAGAUGAAAAUGAAAAGUGAUAAACAGAUGAGAAAGAGUGUGAGAAGAGAGAAAGCGAUAAGCAAUACAAUAGAUUUGUAGCAUUGAUUAGUAUAAAAAUGAGAAGAGAAAUAUAAAAAAAAAAAACAGAUAUUUUAUUCUUUGAAAAAGACAAAAACAACCUCCAUUAAAAAUAAAAUAGUAAAAUAUCGCUACUAUAUUAUGCUAUCUAAAGUUUGUCAUAAAAAUUAUCCUAUAUUAUAAUUUAUUAGUAUAAUAAUAAAUCUCAUGAAAUAAAGUGAAAAAUUAUUUACUUUUUCAUUGUGCUGUAAAAAAGUACUCCAUGUUAAUCAAUGUAUAAAGCAUUUAAAAGAAAGGGGCAUAAUUGGAAAUAUGCAAUAAAUAGGUUGCUCUAUUGGACUUUCAGGAUUGAAAAAACUGUCGGUACCAAAAAUUAAUUCGAACUUGAAUUAUUUCUUUUAACGCAACUUUAGAUGGCUCCUUGUGACUUUAAUUAAUAAUAUCAAACAUUUAUCUUGUAAAACAAGGUAGGACCUACCAAUAUGUCACUUAGUCAUGGAUUUCUAGACUAAUUCACAUUUUUAGAAUCGAAUUCAAGAUUGUCGACAUCACAAAGAGAAUUGACCCAAUAAAUAAAUAUCAAAAUACUUGAGCUAAAUAAAUAAGUGAGAUUUUGCAAACAAGGUAGGUCCUACCAAAGUUCUAUAAAUAGUAACCCUCAAUGUGUUAUAAACCGCAUCACAAACUAAAAUAGUAGCAUUAUUCAUAUUAUACAUUAAUUUCUCCUUUCAUUUACUUAUUGCAUAUUGAUCCUUUUUAUCUUGAUAUAUAUCAUGGGUUCUUUUGUUUUCAUUGAUGAACAUGUCUCAACUGUGGCUCCAGCUAAACUUUACAAAGCACUUGCAAAAGAUGCUGAUGAAAUCAUCCCAAAGGUGAUUCCAGCUGCUCAGAGUGUUGAAAUUGUUGAAGGAAAUGGAGGACCUGGCACCAUUAAGAAGUUAUCCAUGUCUGAAGGUAAUUGAUUAAGAUUAUAUAACAUUUACACAGUUGAAUUUUUGGGACUAGAGUUGAUUGUUGGUAUAUUGAAAUGAGAUUCAACAAUCAAGUAAUUAACGAUAUCCAGUUACGUUCAGAUUGAUCAAUGACUUAAACAAUUUUUAGUCAAACUUUAUUUAAAUUUGAGGGAACAAAACUUAUAUAAAUUAUGAUGGUUUAAUUGUAGGUGGUAAAACCGACUUUGUGCUACACAAAUUAGAAGCAAUGGAUGAGGCAAACUUGGGAUACAACUAUAGCAUAGUAGGAGGAACAGGAUUGGAUGAAAGUUUAGAGAAAGUUGAAUUUGAGACAAAUAUUGUGGCUGGAUCUGAUGGUGGAUCCAUUGUUAAGAUUUCAGUGAAAUAUCACACCAAAGGUGAUGCAGUUCUAUCUGAAGCUGUACGUGAGGAAACUAAGGCCAAAGGAACUGGACUUAUCAAGGCCAUUGAGGGUUAUGUUUUGGCAAACCCUAAUUACUAGCAAAUUAAACAUUUGCUUUAAUAAUAAUUAAAGACUAUGAUAUGGUUGAAUGUGUGUUGGAUAUUUUGAGGUUUGAGUGUUGUUUUGAGUGUUUAAAAACAAAAACCAAUGUUGUGUUGGUGAUGAGGUUUUGCACCAUCUGUAUUAUGUAAUAAAUAAUGCAAAAGAAUUUUCUAGCACUUUCCGUUAUUUUUUUAGAGGAAUAGCACUUUACAUCAUUUUAAUUUAAUUUAGGAUAACAUCAAACUAAUAGUGCAUGUGGUUUUCAAUUGGUUGAAUUUUAAACUAACACUGUCUACGGUUCGAUUAUUUAAACAGUUUGGUUGAGUUUUGUCUUGAAUUGAUUUGAGCAAAUUAAAGCAAUUGAAUCAUGUUUUGAAAGUCUCAUCAUCUUGUCCAAUAUGAUUUUUAAAACAAAACCUACUGGUUUGAUAAACCGUUAAAAGGGAAUUAGAAUACAUCGAAACAACACAAAUUUUUAUGAUACUAAAAUUAAAGAAGAUAAAAUUGUGAAUACCUAUAAAAGUCUCACAACACCCUAAUUUCUUUUUUCUUUUUUAAAACACAUGUAAGUUAAUAACAUAAAAGGAUAAAAAUACCUAUAAAUACGACAAAUAAAGCAACUAAAAUACUAUAUGCAGAGCCUACCCAACAUUUUGGUAGGCCUAAAGUGAAUUUUUUAUUGAUGCUUUUUAAAGUAAAAUAUUAAACUUUGUUGAACCCAAGGUUUGAACCAAAGAUGCAGAGGAUUUGAGACCUCUUCUUGACGAACUAAAGUUAUGCAAGCAUUUAUAAUUAUUUUAUCAUAUUAUGUAUUUAUAUCUAAAGUUGAUAUGGUCAUUGCGUAUCCACGAGGAUUUGAGGCCUCUUUGUUGCUGCCUACCCACGAGGUUUAAUUUGCAAAAUCAUGGAGUCCAUUGUCUGUCACUUGUGUGGUUUGUAAUAAUGAUUUGAAAGAUCAAAUGCACAUGUUUAUGCACUGUAAUUUUGCUACUGAUUGUUGGAAAGAAGUAAAUCUUUGGGCAAGAUAAAGUCAUACAUAACGUCAAAUGAUAGUUUUUCAUCCAUUAUCUUUGAUAUUCUUGUAGCUAUUUAUUGAGUGUUUGGCAUGCACGUAAUGCUUGUUUAUGGGAGGAAAAACUUGUCGAUGCACAUACAUCUUGCGUCCUGGAAUUAGAUACAGUUCGAGAUUACGUGUGGUGUCAUCGUCUCAACGAUGUUGUGCAGUCUGCUACUCCAACUUAGUCCAAACUGCAGGCAGAUUGGAUCAAGUCUUACAUCGAUUGUGUUCUUUUUGAAGCUGAUGGAAAAUUUAGUGUUGGUAUCUGUUUUCGAGACCGCCUUAUCCAAGAACUAUUCCAUCCUAUAGCAAGAAGCUUAGAUAUUAUCUUAUAAAGCACAUUACAUAAUGAAAUUACCCUCCAUUCCUUCAUACUAGUUGGUUUUGUCACAUUUAGGAAUAAGGCAAAUAUUAUUAUCAUUCAAUUAAUGUGCUCGGAAAAUAACCUAUAUAUAACCACAUAUUCACAACUUCAAAAAUUUCAUCACUACAAAGAUUCCAAAACCUUGAAAAAAAAAACCCGGAUUAAAACCAUGAAGACUCGAUGACUUAUUUGAAUGCAUUUGAAAUAACGUAAGUUUCAGCUCCUCUUUAGUAAACGGUGCUAAAAUAAGGUUGUUGUUUGCAUCGGUUAUCUUUGGUUGAAGGUGACAACUAGGCUACCCAUGAAAGAAUGAUGGGUAAUUUACCCUAACCAAUACACAUUAGCCACAUAAGCACAUAUUCAUGAACUAUCUUGACCCCACAAAUAAAUUGUUCAUUUUCAUUGGUUGGUAGGUAAAUUACCCACCAUUCUUCAAAAGUAAUUUAAAAAGAACCUUGAUGGAAUCAUACCAAUCAUUAAAAUUUUCAAUAUCACAAUCAUUUACCGCCUCCUUAAACCCAAGAUAAAUCCAAUUAGGAUGGGAAUGUUGGCCUCGAAUAUUCUCUUGAGAUAAAAUAUCAUUAAAAUUUCUUAUGAUACACCAAGGCAUAUGAGACAUGUCCCUCAACUCUCUGAGACAUGUCCCUCAACUCUCUGAGCAUAUUCCAAGAAUCUCUUCUUCGACCUCCUUUUGGGUAACCAUAAAAAUCAGUUAACAUUGAUUCUCUUUUUAUUGUAUCUUCCACAAUUAAAUUGAUAUUGUUUAUAGAGUAAUUAAGAAUUUUACACAAGCUAUUAACUUUUCAUAUCACUGCUAUCUAGGGGUGGGAUUAGGUCGAGUCGGGCCAAACUUUACUUAAAUAGGUCAGAUCUAAUUUAAAAAGUUAAAGCCUAGGCGACCUAUUAGCUUGUCAAAGACUUUAUUUUAAGUCUAAGCUUUUUAAAAGUCUAGCCUAAUAUUGUCAAAAAGCCUAGUUUAUGCUAAGAAUUUUAAAUAGAAUAUCUGUUCUAUUUAUAAAAAGGCUAAUAAACAUAUAUUUCUUAGAAGAUUAAUAUGCCAAUAAAAUUUUGUAGAGCUUGUAUAUCAAUUUUGUUUCACUCUGUAAGCAUAUAUUGCAUGUAAAUCGAAUAUAAUUUGGUAAGGCCUCUACAUCAAUUGUAUAGAGGCUAUUAGCCAUAUAUGGGCCGAAAAUUUAUUAAUACAAUGGAGGAGUAUAUAUAUAUAUAUAUAUAUAUAUAUAUAUAUAUAUAUAUGAGGAGGGAUAUUUUGACUUCAAGAGUAAGUUUAUAGACUUAUUCCAAAUCUCCACCUUUCAUCUUAUUUUAAUCUAAUAGUUUAAAUGUGAGUUUUAAUUGUUAAUCAUGUGACCAUUUUUUUGGAUCUCAUUCUUAUAAAUAUUUUCUCCAUUUAAUCUCCCUUAUUAAUUAAUGUAAUAAAUACCUCCCCAAUUUUAUUUUAUUUUUUGGCGCACCUUUGCCAAUUCAAAAAGUGUUUUUUAAUCUUUUUCUCCAACAUUAGAGCAAGGUUGCAGUUUGAAAUAUAAAUUAAAAUGUAAGCUUUCCACUCUCACCUCUUGAACCUAUGGAUGAGAAGAUUUUUUUUAUUGAAAUGUAAAUCAAAAAGGAAAGAAAUGAGAUUGAGAGCCAUCAUGUAGAAUUGAGGUUGGAGUGAAACGGAGAGCCAUCACUCUAUAUCCUAUUGUGAUUUAUAUGAUUAUCCAAUCAAAGAAAUUGGGUGUAUACAAAAUCAAUUGGGUGAGUUAGGGUACAAAGCAUUAGGAGGAAAUUUUGUUGUUUUCUGAGAGUUAAAAUAAAUAAAAAAGUAAUUAAGGGAUAAAUGAAAUUUGUUUUAUGAGAAUAAAAUAAAAAAACUUAAAAGUGUGUUUAUGAGAGAAAGGAAAUUUGAUUUAUGAGAAUUAAUUAAGGGAGAAUAAUUGGAGAAGGUAUUUAGAUCCACAAAGAUGGUCAUAUGAUUAACAAUUAAAACCCACAUUUAAGCCAUUAGAUUAAAAUAAGAUGAAAGGUGGAGAUUUGGAGUAAGUCUAUAAACUUACUCUUGGAGUCAAAAUAUCCUCUCUCUCUCUCUCUCUCUCUCUCUCUCUCUCUCUCUCUCUCUCUCUCUCUCUCUCUCUGUAUAUAUAUAUAUAUAUGAGAUAUGAGAUAGAAUCCGUUGACACUUUAUAUUGACACCAAAUCAUAUCCCUUGAUUUCAUUUGAUCCAAUAGCUCCUAUUAAUUCACUUAACCUUGUACCUAUGUGUGAUGCACUGAACCACACCGUCGUCUUCAUUCUCACGUUAUACGUACGCCGUCUGCUAUCUGCAGUUUUCGUUCAUCUCUUCUCCCCUUGCACACCUUCACAAAUGCUUCAUCUAUAUUAUGUGUUGCUCCUAUCGAAAUUAAAACCCACUAUUCAAUUAGUGGUGGAUAUGAGUUAAAACCUUGUACGCUAAUUCUUCAAAUGGAUCCUCUAAGAUUAAUUCCUCAAAUUUUUUGAUUAGAUUUAUGAAAUCAAUAAUAAUUGGAUGACGUUAGAAAACCGAUGGACAUUAUUUAUUGAUUUGCUUCAAUUUGUGCAAUUUUAGGUGAGAAAAAGAAAUUGCAUAUCAGAAUGCAUAAUAUAAAAUAAAAAAUUGUGGGUUUGGUAAAAUGAAAAACUAUGUAAAUUAAAAUGAAAACCAAGAGUUGUUUCCUUUGUUUGGGUAUGGACAAGGAAGUAGCCAAGAUACAAGAGACAACAUUUUUCCAUUGUUGUUCCUGUAUACUUUGUUCAGCAAGAUUGAAAAGGAACAAAAAGAAAAUAAGAGUGCACAUUACAGUGAAAAAGGCCUAUGUUAGUUGAUUUAGUAAAUAAUUAUAAGCCUGUUACAGUGAAAAAGGCCUAUGUAAGUUGAUUUACUUUUUUUAUUCUGAUCUAUUUAAAUUAAUGGUUUUUUUAAAAAGCUUGAAUCUGACUUAUUUACUAAACAAGCUAAACCGGUCUGGGUUUUAAGUAAGUCGAGUUAUAAGCCCCUAACAAACGGUCUGGCUUAUUUUAGGAUUUAGGGUUUACCCAAAUGAUCCCUCCACUUCUCCCUUCAACAUAUAUAGCACAACAAGAAUCAAAACCAAACCUAACUCGUAAGAAUUCUAUAGUCAUUGCUUUUGCCAACGUCUCGUACAAAUAAAGAAUAUCAAGAUUUUAUUUUUGGUUAAUAAAAAGUAGUAAUGCUAAAGGAAGAGACAACCCCAAAAAAAUUAGCUCUAAUAUUUAAUGUAAUACUACUAUGCAUGUAGUAGGAAUAAAUGGGAAACGUAUGCUCUUUUUUUUUUUUUUUGUUACCUGGGAAACGUAUGUUUGAUUGUUUAUUGAAUAGUAGAAAAUUGUUGUAAAGGAAUUCUUUUUUCGACGUUAUAAAGGACUCUCUUUAUGCAUCUCCAAUAAACACUAUCUAUACUUUGUAAAAAGAAUACAAAAAUAAAUGUGAGCAUUGAUAGGGAUAUGAUAGCAUCUAGGAAUCGGGUUCCACCUUAGUUUCUUCUCCUUUAUCCAUUACUAACAUAUGAUUUAUGGUCAAUUUUCAACCUCAAAGAGCAUUCCUUUAAUAAAUAGUUUCCCGUUUUUUUUUUUAUUAUUUAAAUAAUCGAUUUUCACAUCUAUUUAGUUUAUUUCUCUAAUUUUUUCAUCAUCUUAGUGCGACGUUAUUUUGUUUGUCGUCUUUGUGUGACAUUGUUUAUCUUUAUUGUCUUGUUUAGAUGUUUGUUUCAUUCAUAUUGUCAUAUCAAGUUUGAUGCAGUGCAUGUUCAAUCAAUGAUUUAAAAAUUGUCAACGUUGUUGUGAGUUUGUUCGUGGAUUCAUCAAUUUUGUUUUUAGCAAAUUCAUAUUGUAUCGGUGUACUCUAUCAAUUUGAAUGAAUAAUAUCAUUUAUUACUAAAAAAAAGUACCGGGUACAAACUUUAAAUUUUCCGUUUAGUUAUCUUAAAGUGAAUUUUUAGCCACUAAAUUAUUUUAUUAAAAAAAAUCACUAUAUAUAAUGAUUAAAAUUAUAAGCGUAAUUUCAGGAGUGAACAUAGACCUUUAUUCAAAAGGGAAUGAACAUAGACGUAUAAUUAAAGGAGAACGAUAUUUCAUUGUCAUUAAUUUGUUUAUUGUCACUACGUGAAUAUUUUCUAAUUAUUUCGUGGGUGACUGCGACUGAGUCUAUUCAACAAAAAACAAAAAUCUACCGACUAAGUCUUCUUAUAAUUCCAAGACAUCGACUUUGAAUUUUUGAUACAACAAUGACCCAAUCUCACCCAAUCUUAAGAGUACUAUCAUAAUUCAUACAAAAUAGGUCAUAUUUUUCGGUCCUUAAAUAGGUCAUAUUAUAUUUUUCGGUCCUUAAAAAAAAUUGAUAUUUGAUUUUUUAAAAUUAAAUUAACAAGGGUAAAAUUGAGAUAAAAAGUGAUAAACUGUAAGUUAUAAGAUAUUUGAAGCAGCUUAAGAAAAAUGGUAUAAGCUCGAAAAAGAAAGUUAUAACUCGUGAGAAAACUUGUUUGCUAAAAAAAUAAAAAAUAAACUCGUGAGAAAAAAAAUUGUUAACAGACAUGUUUUAUCUUAGUCAUAUGAGAUCAUAAAUUAUAAAUUAUUUGUUAUAAGUGACAUUAACCCAAGAACAAUUUCGUAAUAGUGUAUAUAAAAUAAAAUCAUUAAUUAAUAUGGUAAUUCAGAAUAUUUUGAUUGAUUUUGGAUGUAAAACUGUUUUGGACCGUUAAUCUACCACUAUUAAACUCUUAAUACAUUACCAAUUUUUGUUAAUAUGCAAUUGCAUAAUAAAUUAUUUGUGAUUAAGAUAUCAACUGUUAAUUUCUCAAUUUACUGAUUACACGCUUUAGAAGAAUAAGUAAAUUAGCAUUUUAGUUCUCGGAAUAAUAAAGGACAAAUUAUUUAUUCACUAAAAUUUGUGAAAUAAUAAUUAAUCAAUUAAAUAAAAUAAUACUAUCAAUUAAUUCAGUUCCUCAUAUCUUAUGAAAAAUAAAUCAUCAACAUUUAUAAAAGAUUUGCAUGUUGACUUUUUUAAUUUGUAAAGUUCUAACAUAAAUAACGUGGUAAUUUGAAGUUCGAUAUAAUGUUAAGUGAAGUAUGAUAAAUGAUUGUUUUAAGUCAUGAUUCGAACUCAGUUUUUUUCGAACAAUUUAUCUUAAACAAAAGUUAAGUGAGCACUUCAGCUCAACCGCUCGACUGAAUUAUAUAUUAAUUUAUGUUUUUUAUACAAAAAUAAACGAUAUUCAUUCAUUUAAAUUGAUAUAGUACAUCGAUACAAUACGAAUUUAAAAUUGCUAAAAACAAAAAAGGAUGAAUCUACGAACAAACUCAGAGUAUCCAUGUUAAUAGCAUAAAACGGUAGAGUAUAUAUGCCUACAAAUAUACCUAUCAAGCCACUGAAAUACUCAUGUUUCGGAUCUGCAACGUUGACAAUGCAAAAGUCAUUGAUUGAAUCUGCAUUUGAUCAAAGCUAAUCUUUCAACCUGAAUCAAAUAAAAACCGCAUUAAGACAUGAAUAAAAAACACACCGCACAAAGACGAGAAAUCAAAAUAAAUAAAGUUGUGCUAGAUGACGAAUUCACAAAACCAACAAAAGAAAGGUGAAAAUAUGUGAAAAAUUACUUAUUUAACUAAAAGAGAAAGAGAAACAAUUCAUAGGGGUGAUUUCGUGUCAAAAUUGAUAGUAAGUCACACCUUUUUGGUAGAUGAAGAAGAAAAAAAGUCGUGUGACUAGGGUUUAGGAAAGGAAAAGUGAGAGAAUUUCUACCUUAUAUAAUUGAUUUUUUUAUGUUUUAAAACCAAGACAUUUUCUACACGCGACUACGACAACUAAUCUCUCAAUGUAAACGAAAUUCAUCGUAGAAGUUGUCAUCUCUCAAUAUAUAUUAUCUAUACACAAUGAUCAACAGAUUAAAAUAAUGACCACAUAGCCGAGAGACUCAAAUAAAUAUUCAUCAAUUUUGUUACACCAUAUUGGUAUAUAACUUUCAACUAUGUGGUGUUAAAGUCUGAAAACACGACUAAUUAACUAAUACACUUUAAAGUACUAAAGUAUUACUAUUUAACGAAUUUUAGGACCCACCAUGACACCAUUGCAAUAAUUUCAAUUGGAAAAAUAUUUAGCACCGUUUGGUCAGACUUUUUUCGGUCUAAAAAUUAUUUUAAAACAAAGUUAAAAUAAAACUCUUUAAGGAAAAAGUUAAAGUUGUUUGGUUUCUUUAUUUUUUUUAGUUUUUUUUUGAACAAGCCAAAAUGGAAUUAUAUAAACAAAAAGGCAGUCCCAAACGCACAAGGUGUGCCCUAGCGACUACCUCCAAAACCAAGAGUUACAAGAAUUACAACCAAGCCACAACAGAAAGACAUUAGCCAAUACCCAAACAAACAAGAGGGUUUGACCACCACUGCUGAGUUCCAAAAACAAAGGUAGCUUUUUUAACUUUAAGUCAACCUAAAGACAACAUCUUAAUCUUAUCUAAUAAACAAGGGAUGGGGGUAACAACAUGAUUAAACAGACGGUUAUUUCGUUCAUUCCACACAACCCAGGCACAAAGAAGCCAAAUAAGUUGCAUAAAAGAACGUCUAGCAACACCACCACCUGUCAAAUGAGUAAACUGUAAAAAAUGAUCGGAAAUAUUAUAUGUGUCCACCCCAUAGCAACCAAUCCAAUCACGCACCAGAUGCCACAGAGAGCCAAAAGUAUUACACAAUAAAAAGAGAUGUUGCACCGAUUCAGGAUGACCACAACCAGUAACACACGAGGACAUGUCAUGCGACAACACCCGUCUAGCAAUCAAAUUAGUCCUUGUUGGUAAACGAUCUCGGAUGAGCCUCCACACGAAAACGAACACCUUCAAGGGAACCUGUUUGUGCCACACCAAAUCCAAAGCAUAGUCCGCUACCUGAGGAACCUGAGAAGUCAACAAACUAUAUGCACCAUGAACAGUGUAACCACCAGAUGGGUCCGGAAGCCACACCCAGCUAUCUGAAACAUUAGGAUCCAAAGAAACAUCAAGAAUUAAAGCCCUGCACUCCUCUAGCAAGUCCUCAUCCCACUGCCAUAACCUACGUCUCCACCUCCACACAUCCCCCCACUGCUCCGAAUCAACAGAAAGCAAGUCCGCCACGAAUAUAGACUUAUUCUCUGUUAACUCAAACAACCGACUAAACCUCACACGAAGAGGAGCCUCCCCUAUCCACCUAUCGAACCAAAAUGAUGUAUCUGCCCCAUCACCAACUCUCCUCAACACCUGAUCCUCAAACCAGCCGCUACCACCAACACCAACCCUACCCCUAAGACGACUCACCUCCGACCACCAACAAGAAACUCUCCGGCCCCCAACCUGCCACCUAAUUCGCCAUAUCUGGCAACUAAAACCCUAUACCACAAAUCACCUCUAUCAACCAACAACCUCCAACACCAUUUCCCUAACAAUGCUAUAUUAAACUCCUUCAAUCUCCUCACCCCCAAACCGCCACACUCCUUUUUUAAACAAACAGUUUGCCAACUUAACCAAGAUAUUUUCCUAUUAUCCUCACUCCCCCCACUGCUCCGAAUCAACAGAAAGCAAGUCCGCCACGAAUAUAGACUUAUUCUCUGUUAACUCAAACAACCGACUAAACCUCACACGAAGAGGAGCCUCCCCUAUCCACCUAUCGAACCAAAAUGAUGUAUCUGCCCCAUCACCAACUCUCCUCAACACCUGAUCCUCAAACCAGCCGCUACCACCAACACCAACCCUACCCCUAAGACGACUCACCUCCGACCACCAACAAGAAACUCUCCGGCCCCCAACCUGCCACCUAAUUCGCCAUAUCUGGCAACUAAAACCCUAUACCACAAAUCACCUCUAUCAACCAACAACCUCCAACACCAUUUCCCUAACAAUGCUAUAUUAAACUCCUUCAAUCUCCUCACCCCCAAACCGCCACACUCCUUUUUUAAACAAACAGUUUGCCAACUUAACCAAGAUAUUUUCCUAUUAUCCUCACUCCCCCCCCCCCCCCAAAAAAAAAAAAAAUUAAUAAACAAAGAUUCAAUAGAGGAGAUUAUACCUGAUGGAGCUUUGAAGAAGGAAAGUGCAUAGACAGGCAAAGAGGUCAGGACAGAUUUGAGAAGAACCAAGCGACCACCAAAAGAUAGAAACCGACUAUUCCAACCUGACAGUCUAGAUUUAAUACGAUUCACAAUAGGUUCCCAGAAACACAAUCUUCGAGGAUUACCACCAAUAGGCAUACCCAGAUACAAGAAAGGAACGUUACCUACUUUACAACUCAACACGGAAGCAGCCUCAUGUAACCAAGACGACGCAAUAUUCACCCCAACAAGCAUACUCUUAUGAAAAUUCACUUUCAACCCCGACAUAGCCUCGAACAACACAAGGGCCGCCCUUAAAGCACGAACAUUAGCCCAACUUUUAGUUCCUAACAACAAAGUGUCAUCAGCAAAUUGGAGGUGAGAUACAACAACCGGAUUAACCACCCCAAUGCUAUAGCCAGAGAACAGUUGAGCCUCAACCAAAGAUUUCAUCACAACAUUAAGACCCUCCGCGGCCAACAAAAACAAAAAAGGAGACAAAGGGUCACCUUGUCUUAACCCUCUCAUCAACGGGAAUUCAUCAGUUGGACUUCCAUUAACUAAGACAGACGCUGUGGCAGUGCUAACACACUCUUUGAUCCAAUUCCUCCAACGGGAAUUCAUCAGUUGGAAUUCAUCUUUAAAAGUUGUUUGACAAAAUAUUGUAUACCAAAUUUUGUUAUAAGAAUAUCAUAUUUUUGGUGUCAUUUAAAAAGAUAAGAAUUUAUAUUAUAUGAUAUUAUAUUUGUUACAUUGUUGGUGUCAUUGAAAAAGAUAUGUUUAGUUUUUUAAUAAGAAAAAGAUAUGCAUAGUUUGUUACAACAUAAAUGUGUAAAGUAUAUAUAAGUAUAAUUUUUUAGGUAUCUAUACUAGUACUUUUAAUUAAAAUCAAAAUUUUAUAAAAAUAAUAAUUGUACGCAUUGCGCAACACUGAAAAAAUUAUACCCAUUAGCAUAACAAAAAAAAACAGACAUACAGACAUAAAAUAUUACUCUAAACGCUAAUGUGUGUGUGUAUAUUUGUGAGGUUGAAAAAAGGGAAUAAAAAUAUUUGGUGUCAUUCAAUGACAGCAUGAAUAAAAAUAUUUGUGAGGUUGUGAUAAUUAAACGAUAUUAAAAUUAAAUAUAUAAGUGAUAAAAAGAUAAUAAAACUCCUUCAAAAAUAGAUAAUUAAAUUGAUCCUCCUUUAAAAAAAAAUUAUAUGGACCGGUUCAAAAAAAAUUAAAUUGAAGAAAAAACAAAUUGAAAUAUAAUAUUAAAAAAUAAAAUAUAAGGUUGCUGCGUGAGUUGAAGAGGAGUGCUUGUGAAAUAAAUUACAAAGAAGUAGUUUUUUGAAGUAGCAUUCAACAACUUUUGGUUAAAGCUCAUUCCAUUCAAAUUUUAUGCAUUCUAAAAAAAGUACUUUUUUUCGAAGGUAUUUUAUUGAUAUUGUGUUUGGCGUAGCUUCUCCUUAAAAAUGUAGAAAAGUUGAAGAAAAAAAAAAAGUCGGGUCAAACAGUACUUUAAUAUACUCAAUUAAAGUUACUAAUGUACUGGCAAGUAACUUUUAGAGGAAGAUUUUCUUUUUUUAAGGAUUUUAGAGGAAGCUUAGCAACACACUUUUAAUAUACAUUUUUCUAGAAUUUUUUUUUAUUGAUUAAAAUUCAUAUAUAUCCUCAUAAAUCAUGUGGAUUUCAUAUAAUAUAAUAGAAGACACAAAUUUUAACCGACAAAUAGAGUGUAAAAAAUAGAGAAAUGAUAUUUGUACAACCACUUUGUGAUAAUUUUUGGACAAUUUUCUCUCUCAUACUCAUAUUAUAUUCUUACUCUCUUCUUUUUUCUCUCUCCAUUAUUUUUGACCAAUGAAAAGAGAGAAAAGAAAGAUUGUCAAAUAGGUUGUACCAAAUGGUUGUUCAAAUAGGUUGUACCAAAUGGUUGUUCAAAUAUCAUUUCUUUAAAAAAUAUAAGCAUUAAAGAGUUUGUUGUUAACAUUAUUUUAAUUUUUUUUAUGUAAUCCACACUUUGAGUCAUGGAGUGCUUUACUAAUUCAUUUUGUUUUUCGCAACCCAAUUCAAGAUUGUCUAGAAACAAAGAGGACUGACCUAAUAAAUAAAUAUUAAAAUAAGCUACUUGAGCUAAACAAUGAGAUUUCCAAACAAGGUAGGUCCUACUCAAGUUCUAUAAAUAGCAUCCCUCACCAUGUCAUAAACCGCAUCACAAGUUAUAUACUAGUUGUAUUUUUAUUAUAUACUUCUCCUUUCAUUUUCUUCUUGCAUAUUAAUCUUCUUUAUCUUAAUAUAUAUCAUGGGUGUUUUUACUUUCAAUGAUGAACAUGUCUCAACCGUGGCUCCAGCUAAACUAUACAAAGCUCUUGCAAAAGAUGCUGAUGAAAUCGUCCCAAAGGUGAUUUCUGCUGCCCAAAGUGUUGAAAUUGUUGAAGGAAAUGGAGGACCAGGAACCAUUAAGAAGUUAUCCAUUGUUGAAGGUAAUUAAGAGCAUAUACGACGUACAAAUAUAUAAUACUUAAGAUCAAAUGAUACAUAGUGUUCACGUAAAAUUGUUUUACACCGACAACCAAUCAAAUUUAUCAGUACAACAAAGAAUUGUGUAACUACCUUUUAUUUAAAAAUUGAUAAAUAUGAUGUGACAAAUUGAAGAGUUGUGAUUGAUUAAAUGAUUCACAAAUAACUAAGUUAAAUUCAUUAUACCAAAUAAAAGUAAGUUAAAUUCAUUAUACCCAAAAAAAAAAAGUAAGUUAAAUUCAAGUGUAUCAAAAAAAGUCAUUCAAAUCUAUUUGGAUAGUUAUGGUAGUAGCCAUUUAUGUUAUACUUUUAUUUUUAAAAUAG